AGAGUUUGAUCCUGGCUCAGGAUGAACGCUGGCGGUAUGCUUUACACAUGCAAGUCAUACGGAAGUUAGUUUCGGCUAACUUCAGUGGCGGACGGGUGAGUAACACGUGAGAAUUCGCCUUUAGGAGGGGGAUAACAGGGGGAAACACCUGCUAAAACCCCAUAUGCCUUCGGGUCAAAAGAGAAAUCUGCCUAAAGAGAAGCUCGCGGCUGAUUAGCUAGUUGGUGGGGUAAAGGCCUACCAAGGCGACGAUCAGUAGCUGGUCUGAGAGGACGAUCAGCCACACUGGAACUGAGACACGGUCCAGACUCCUACGGGAGGCAGCAGUGAGGAAUUUUCUGCAAUGGGCGAAAGCCUGACAGAGCAAUACCGCGUGAGGGAAGAAGGCUUACUGAGUUGUAAACCUCUGUUACCUAAGGAGGAAGAUCUGACGUUACUUAGGAGACGAAGCAUCGGCUAACUCCGUGCCAGCAGCCGCGGUAAGACGGAGGAUGCAAGUGUUAUCCGGAAUCACUGGGCGUAAAGCGUCUGCAGGUGGUUUCUUAAGUCCACUGUUAAACCUUGAGGCUCAAUCUCAAUUCAGCAUUGGAAACUGGGAAACUUGAGUAUAGUAGGGGUAGAGGGAAUUUCCAGUGGAGCGGUGAAAUGCGUAGAUAUUGGAAAGAACACCGAUGGCGAAGGCACUCUACUGGGCUAUUACUGACACUCAGAGACGAAAGCUAGGGGAGCAAAUGGGAUUAGAUACCCCAGUAGUCCUAGCCGUAAACGAUGGAUACUCGAUGUUGGGCGUAUCGACCCGU
Molecule: ribosomal RNA, 800 nt
Filed under: uncultured bacterium
Lineage: Bacteria
Description: bacterial SSU rRNA
Rfam family: Bacterial small subunit ribosomal RNA
Source: RNAcentral